RNAcentral lists this ribosomal RNA (497 nucleotides) under uncultured bacterium. RNAcentral's name for it is "partial 16S ribosomal RNA". It matches the Rfam family "Bacterial small subunit ribosomal RNA", at positions 28 to 507 of the family's 1533-position model. The record is from RNAcentral.
GAUGAACGCUGGCGGCGUGCCUAAUACAUGCAAGUCGAGCGAACAGACGAGGAGCUUGCUCCUCUUACGUUAGCGGCGGACGGGUGAGUAACACGUGGAUAACCUACCUAUAAGACUGGGAUAACUUCGGGAAACCGGAGCUAAUACCGGAUAAUAUAUUGAACCGCAUGGUUCAAUAGUGAAAGACGGUUUUGCUGUCACUUAUAGAUUGAUCCGCGCCGCAUUAGCUAGUUGGUAAGGUAACGGCUUACCAAGGCGACGAUGCGUAGCCGACCUGAGAGGGUGAUCGGCCACACUGGAACUGAGACACGGUCCAGACUCCUACGGGAGGCAGCAGUAGGGAAUCUUCCGCAAUGGGCGAAAGCCUGACGGAGCAACGCCGCGUGAGUGAUGAAGGUCUUCGGAUCGUAAAACUCUGUUAUUAGGGAAGAACAAAUGUGUAAGUAACUAUGCACGUCUUGACGGUACCUAAUCAGAAAGCCACGGCUAACUACGUG